AGCUCCAUUGGCGUAUAUUAAAGUUGUUGCGGUUAAAAAGCUCGUAGUUGGAUCUGUGUAUCGGACGGUCGGUUCGCCGCCCGCGGUGUUUAACUGACCGGUCCGGACGUCCUGCCGGUGGGACCCGGUUCACGCCGGGGCCCGUAACUCCCUCCGUGCUGCUCUUAACCGAGUGGUACGGUGGGCCGGCACGUUUACUUUGAACAAAUUUGAGUGCUCAAAGCAGGCCUUAUGUUGCCUGAAAAUUGUGUGCAUGGAAUAAUGGAAUAGGACCUUGGUUCUAUUUUGUUGGCUUUUCUGAACUCGAGGUAAUGAUUAAUAGGGACAGACGGGGGCAUUCGUAUUGCGACGUUAGAGGUGAAAUUCUUGGAUCGUCGCAAGACGAACCGAUGCGAAAGCGUUUGCCAAGAAUGUUUUCGCUAAUCAAGAACGAAAGUUAGAGGUUCGAAGGCGAUCAGAUACCGCCCUAGUUCUAACCAUAAACGAUGCCAGCCAGCGAUGCGCCGCAGUUCUUUAAAUGACUCGGCGCGCAGCUUCCGGGAAACCAAAGCUUUUGGGUUCCGGGGGAAGUA
This 572-nucleotide ribosomal RNA is filed under the name Oligoneuria amazonica. RNAcentral describes it as "SSU rRNA". It matches the Rfam family "Eukaryotic small subunit ribosomal RNA", at positions 587 to 1125 of the family's 1831-position model. Lineage: Eukaryota; Metazoa; Arthropoda; Insecta; Ephemeroptera; Oligoneuriidae. The record is from RNAcentral.